GUCUAUGGCCAUACCACCCUGCAUACGCCCGAUCUCGUCUGAUCUCGGAAGCUAAGCAGGGUUGGGCCUGGUUAGUACUUGGAUCGGAGACCGCUUGGUAAUACUGGGUGCUGUAGGCU
Molecule: ribosomal RNA, 119 nt
Filed under: Cebus imitator (Panamanian white-faced capuchin)
Lineage: Eukaryota; Metazoa; Chordata; Mammalia; Primates; Cebidae
Source: RNAcentral